UCSUGUGUUGGUUKCCCCGCGUGACGGAARAUGAUCUCGGAUGAGUCAUAAUUUKUGCCUCUCACCACUUCGUGGUGUUAGGUCGACGUGGAUGUACUGCCCAUUCUCCUUGAWUGCUUCGCCCUUUCGCGUUGCAAUCAUGGCCCAUGGGUUGCUACUAGUUCCCUCGGAUGCAGAACUUUUGAAGGGUGCAUAGCAUGUUAUUGUUGUUUACCCACAAAGCGUUCAUGUCUCGAUGCGUACGACAGUUGUGCCCGCCUUGGUCCCGUCUYUAACUAGUUAGGACGGGGCUCAUGCGGAGCCGGCGUCGCAGAGGAAUGCUACCUGGUUGAUCCUGCCAGUAKUCWUAUGCUUGUCUCAA
RNAcentral lists this unclassified non-coding RNA (361 nucleotides) under Pouteria gardneri. RNAcentral's name for it is "partial contains external transcribed spacer and 18S ribosomal RNA". The record is from RNAcentral. Lineage: Eukaryota; Viridiplantae; Streptophyta; Magnoliopsida; Ericales; Sapotaceae.